UUUUGAAACUUGAAAUUUUUGUUUUGAUUUAUGGUCAUUCAGUUUAUUUUUGAAAGAUUUUCAUUCUUUGCUAAGUAACACAAUUUCUUCAAAACUUCAAAAUGAGUGUUUUAAUAAUUUUGGCUAUUUAAUCAUUAAAGUUUUAUGAAAAUAUUUUGUUUUAAUUUAAAUGAAAGUUUUUAAUGUUUAAUUUACUUAACUUGGAAAUUUAUAAAGAGUGUGUCUGUCUUUUUGUAACCACUGUUCUUUUUAUCCAACACAUGUUAAACUUUCAGGCUGGACAACUGUCAAAAUGGAUCACCAUAAUUAUCAGUCAGGUCAAGGUCAAUCAGUGUAGAUAUCCAAUCAUUUCAGGUCAACAUUUUCUUUUAAAGUUUGGUCAUAGGUUAGAGGUUAAAAGUUCAGGUCAACAUUGACAAGAAUAGAAUGGUCAUUACUCCUUUAAAGUGUAGAGGUCUACUAGAUUUAAGAUCAAACUAUUUGUAAGAAUGGUUAUUUGUAAGGUCAAAGAUAUGCAGUGUCAGGUCAAAGUCAAUGUUUACUUCUACAGAAUGAUUAUAUCUGUAAGCAGGAUCACAGAUAUGAUUAAUUGCUUAAAAGCAACAAGCACAUGUAAGAAGCAUAUUCCUGCUAAACAGCUUUAAAUAUAUGUGUACCUAUUUUCACAAAAAUAGCUCCCUUCCCCAAGGGUUGACUGGGGUAUAAAAAUAUGGUCAUCCCUUGGUCUUCUUCUGACUGGCAGUUAAACACUUGCGAAAGAUUAGCCACCGUUAAGUUAAUACAUAGCCACAUCCUGUUAAAAUUUUAAAUUUAAAAGUUGCAUCUAAUACCAGAGUAACUUUUAACCUGAAGUGUGACAGACGAACGAACAGACAAACAAAAGAAAGGAUCGACAAACAGACGACCGGGUAAGACCAGAAAACAUAAUGUCCAUGUAUGGGGCAUAAAAAUCCAGCAUAACAGUGCAACAUUCCAUUUAGCUUUUGAAAUUUUGAUGAAAAAUACAAAAUAUUUCCUUUGACUCAUUUAAAACAUUAAAUUGUCACCACCCUUUAGAAAGAAAAUGAACAUUAAAGUCCCCUACAUAAAUUUCAUAGUUUAAAUAAAGGAAUUUUUUUCAGCAAUUUUCACUUCUGGAUGAAAGGAUAAAAUUACCACUUCUGUUUUAUAAUUCAUUGAGAGCUUUUAUAAAAAGUAACAGAUCAGAAGUCAAACAAAAAAAGAAAAUAUCACUAAUUUCCUUUUAAACAUCCCAAAAAUUUCGCAUUUGUUCAUUUUAACCUUGACCACUCUUUUAAAAUUUAAAAAAAUAUUAAAUAAGGUUUCUGUAUCUUAAUUUGGCAGCUUCUGAUAAAUUAAAGAAUAUAUUUGGUAUACAUCAAUGAGGGGUACUUAACAAACAACAAAAACAAGGCGUCUUUAGGUCAACAUAGUCUUCAACAAAGAUAGGCAUCUAUACAAUAUGUUUAGUGUUUAUAGUUCAAAAUUAGUCAACAAAAUUUACUAAAUAUCUAUAAAGAAAAAAGUCGACAAAAUUUACUAAAUAUCUUUAAAGAAAAAAGUCGACAAAAUUUACUAAAUAUCUAUAAAGAAAAAAGUCGACUACAUUUUACUAAAUAUCUAUAAAGAAAAAAGUCGACAAAAUUUACUAAAUAUCUAUAAAGAAAAAAGUCCACAAAAUUUACUGAAUAUCUUUAAAGAAAAAAGUCCACAAAAUUUACUAAAUAUCUAUAAAGAAAAAGUCCACAAAAUUUACUAAAUAUCUAUAAAGAAAAAAGUCCACAAAAUUUACUAAAUAUCUAUAAAGAAAAAAGUUAACUAAAUUUACUAAAUAUCUAUAUAGAAAAAAGUCCACAAAAUUUACUAAAUAUCUAUAAAGAAAAAAGUCCACAAAAUUUACUAAAUAUCUAUAAAGAAAAUAGUCCACAAAAUUUACAAAAUAUCUAUAAAGAAAAAAGUCGACUAAAUUUUACUAAAUAUUAUAAAGAAAAAAGUCCACAAAAUUUACUAAAUAUCUAUAAAGAAAAAAGUCCACAAAAUUUACUAAAUAUCUAUAAAGAAAAAAGUCCACAAAAUUUACUAAAUAUCUUUAAAGAAAAAAGUCAACUAAAUUUACUAAAUAUCUAUAAAGAAAAAAGUAGACUAAAUUAACUAAAUAUCUAUAAAGAAAAGAGUAGACAAAUUUAACUAAAUAUCUAUAAAAAAUAAUAAUAAAGCAAAAUAAUUAAAAAUUCUUUUUUCUUGCAAUUAAAUGAGUUUAAAAUUUUUAAUUCAGCAAAAGAUUUGGGCUUUCAACAACUUGAUGUGAAUGAUAUUGCAUUAUUAUAGUGUCUGAGUACAACAUUAUUACAUAACUUGCUGGGUUCAACUUUCUUUUUUUACAAAAAUAUAAAGUAUACAAAGUUAACACUGGCAAGUCAAGUAUAACAAUGUAUCUAACACUGCACAAUCUGCAUAAACCUGCAUACCUGCAUAGGAUAAUUAGCAUUGCAUAUAUAAAUUAACAUGUAAAGCUUAUGCUGGCUUGCUGAUGUUUUCUUUCAUUGUUCUAUUUAAUUAACCCCUAGCCCAAUAUAGCAACAUCUAUUUAAAAUUGACCUGGGAUUUGGAUUUUGGGCAGGUAGGGAGGAAUAAGGGAAAUACCUUGGCCUGGGAUUUUAGGGCUUAAAGAAAGGGGAAUGGAAACCCAGGGACUCUGGUGAAGUGGGGAGAUAAAAGGAGAGGGGAAACCCAGGACCUGGUGUAUUUGGGGAGAUAAAAGAGGGAGAAGGUUACAUCCAGGGCCUGGUGAACUGGGGGAGAUAAAAGAGGGAGAAGGGGACAUCCAGGGCCUGGUGAACUGGGGGAGAUAAAAGAGGGAAUGGGGAAAGAGUUGCUGUCUAUUGAAUGAAGUAAGUUAUGUGUUAAUGUUGUAUUCACAUUGUUGUGAUGAUUUUAUUGUUGCUUUUAAGUUUGUGGAGCACAAAUACCCCAGUACUUUUGGAUAAAAAUGAUAAUGAAAAAAUAUUCCCGUUUAAACUUUCAGUUUUUAAUAAAGAUAUUCCAGUGUUCAAAUUAACCAUUAAAGUGGUCUUUCUUAAAGUUGUCAAACAAGAACCAAAGUGUACCUUUUAAACUUUAAAAUAUCAAUUGAACAUUUAAUUAGAAACCUUUGGUUUAAACAUUUAUGCGUGUUUCUGAAUUCUUUUCAUUAAAAUUGAGUAAAUAAAAUCUCACUCUAUUUAAACAAUUUUGUGUUGUAAAAAAAACACAAAAACAUACAAUUAAGUACUUGACCUAUAGUAUAGAAACUUGUUUUUGUUGGAGACUAUAUUGACCUCUGGGGACCAGUUUUUUUGUGUUGUUUAGUUGCUGUCUCAAUAACAUAAUCCCUAAAGUCAUUUUCAAUUAAUAAUAAAGGACAAAUUAUAAAAAACCCAGAAUAAACAAAUCCUUCAUAUUAACUUUUAAUAACUGUUAAAUUUUCCUUCAAAUCAAAUAUAUGUUUCAUACAUCUCCUUCGUUUAGAUAAAUUUUAAAGUGAAACAGAGAAUGGAAGCCAAAUAUUUAAAAUUUAGAUUAAUUGAAAUAGCCUCCCCUCUUAAAAAAAAAUAAAGAACAAAUUUUAACAGAAAAAAGGGGGAAGGAAACCUAAAGAUACAGAAUUUAAAUAAGUGAUAAAAAGAUCCUCCGUCCUUUUCUAAACUUCUUUUUAAAGUUUUAAAUUUGGUAAAUUAGAUGUUCCCUGAAUUUAGAGUAUCCAUGGGAACAUGUCCCAUUUUUACCAGAAAUUAAUAUACCCAUAGGAACAUUACGGUACAUGUUCCGCUCCAAAGUAAAAAAGGUAUCCAUAGGAACAUCACAUGUUUCUCUCCAAAGUAAUGAAGGUAUCCAUAGGAACAUCACAUGUUUCUCUCCAAAGUAAUGAAGGUAUCCAUAGGAACAUCACAUGUUCCUCUCCAAAGUAAUAAAGGUAUCCAUAGGAACAUCACAUGUUCCUCUCCAAAGUAAUAAAGGUAUCCAUAGGAACAUCACAUGUUCCUCUCCAAAGUAAUGAAGGUAUCCAUAGGAACAUCACAUGUUCCUCUCCAAAGUAAUAAAGGCAUCCAUAGGAACAUCACAUGUGUCUUACCAAUGUAAAUAAGGUAUCCAUAGGAACAUGGGAGCCUCGGUGGCCAAGUGGUCUAAGUAGUUACUACUGUAAACACUAGCCAGUCAACACUGAGGUUGUGAGUUCGAACCCCGCUCGUGCGGGUGCACAUGACUCCAAUCUUAAUUGACUUAGGGUUGUCAGUUUUCCUAUUGAAGGUCAGUGGUUUUCUCCAGGCACUCUGGCUUCCUCCACCAAUACAAACUGGCCGCCAUGAAAUAGCCAAAGUAGUGCUUAAAAGUGGCGUUAAAACACCAAAAAAUCAAAUUCGAAUCCAUAGGUGCACUGCAUGCUCCAAAUUUACUGGUAUCUGAUAUCCAUUGGAAUCCAAAUUUAGUUGUUCAGUUUGUAUUGAUGACAGACUUGGCUUUACAAUGAACUUUGAACUCAAAGAAAUGGAUACACAUGUUUCAGAAAAGUAAGUUUGGUACCUAUAUCUCUUUUCACACUUUUGUUGUUUUUAAAUAAUUUGUAAAUUUUAUUGUAAAUGUAACAUAUUUAAGUUGUCAAAUUUUUGUGUAAAAAGGGGAAUGACCAUUUCAAAACUGUUUUUCAAUAUUUUUGUUAAAGAUUUUCAGAAGGAAGCAGAAAAAUUAUUUAUGAAAAUGUGGAUAGUGUCAAAUGUGUAUAUAGUUUUAAGAAAAAUAGAAAAAAAACAAAAAAAUGCAUGGGUGAUGGUUUUUAAUGAUUUUAAGAAAAAUAGAAAAAAAACAAAAAUAUGCAUGGGUGAUGGUUUUUAAUGAUUUUAAGAAAAAUAGUAAAAAAAAAAAGAAAAAAAAAUAUGCAUGGGUGAUGGUUUUUAAUGAUUUUAAGAAAAAUAGAAAAAAAACAAAAAAAUGCAUGGGUGAUGGUUUUUAAUGAUUUUAAGAAAAAUAGAAAAAAAACAAAAAAAUGCAUGGGUGAUGGUUUUUAAUGAUUUUAAGAAAAAUAGAAAAAAAAAAAAAUAUGCAUGGGUGAUGGUUUUUAAUGAUUUUAAGAAAAAUAGUAAAAAAAAAAAUAAAAAAAAA
This is a long non-coding RNA of Mytilus californianus (California mussel), 5136 nucleotides long. RefSeq lists it as uncharacterized. The transcript is spliced from 2 exons. The record is from RefSeq and is a predicted model, not a curated record. NCBI's taxonomy places the organism in Eukaryota, Metazoa, Mollusca, Bivalvia, Mytilida, Mytilidae.